UUCCAGACUCCUACGGGAGGCAGCAGUGAGGAAUAUUGGUCAAUGGACGGAAGUCUGAACCAGCCAUGCCGCGUGAAGGAAGAAGGCUUUCGGGUUGUAAACUUCUUUUAUGAGGGACGAAACAAAUGACGGUACCUCAUGAAUAAGCCACGGCUAACUACGUGCCAGCAGCCGCGGUAAUACGUAGGUGGCAAGCGUUAUCCGGAUUUACUGGGUGUAAAGGGGGCGCAGACGGCGAUGCAAGCCAGGAGUGAAAGCCCGGGGCCCAACCCCGGGACUGCUCUUGGAACUGCGUGGCUGGAGUGCAGGAGGGGCAGGCGGAAUUCCUGGUGUAGCGGUGAAAUGCGUAGAUAUCAGGAGGAACACCGGUGGCGAAGGCGGCCUGCUGGACUGCAACUGACGUUGAGGCCCGAAAGCGUGGGGAGCAAACAGGAUUAGAUACCCCCGUAA
RNAcentral lists this ribosomal RNA (450 nucleotides) under uncultured bacterium. RNAcentral describes it as "bacterial SSU rRNA". It matches the Rfam family "Bacterial small subunit ribosomal RNA", at positions 329 to 793 of the family's 1533-position model. The record is from RNAcentral.